Long non-coding RNA from Cercocebus atys (sooty mangabey), 2688 nucleotides. RefSeq lists it as uncharacterized. The transcript has 3 exons. NCBI's taxonomy places the organism in Eukaryota, Metazoa, Chordata, Mammalia, Primates, Cercopithecidae. The record is from RefSeq and is a predicted model, not a curated record.
UUUUAGUAGAGACGGGAUUUCACCAUGUUGGCCAGGCUUGUCUCAAACUCCUGACCUCAAGUGAAGACUAUCCAUUUCUGAAUUCAAUGUUAUGCAACUGUCAUAUUUGAAGUGGUGUCAAAACAACUAGAGUCGGGCCGGCCAUGGUAGCUGACACCUGUAAUCUCAGCACUUUGGGAGGCCGAGGCAGGCGAAUCACUUGAGAUUUACACAUCGCCCACAGAGAAGAAAACCUGGUGAGGCCACUUCUGCUUGUAUUGCAGAGGAAGAACCCAUCUGAUGCCACUUUUAGGAAGAUUUAUUAGAGGAUGUGGAGACAUUAUCUUCAAUGUGUGUUUUGUGAUGACAUCCUGCACUGGCACUUACUGAAUGAGUCAAAUAUGAUAUUUAUAGGGCCUUAAUAAAAGCUUUUAUCUAGCUAGGUUGUAUUAUUAAAUGUCAAACGAACUAAAUGAAAAGCUUUCAACAUGAAGGCAUCCAAAGAGAGCAGAAUGAGAAAAGCAUAAAAAAUGUUGAGAUACCGAGGCAGCAUGCAUUGAGUGGGGGCUUUGAGGUCCCACAGUCCUAAAUGUGAAACUCAGUUCUGACACUGACCAGCUCUGUGACCUUGGGCAAAUUAUUUAAUGUCUCUAUGCCCCAGUUGUUAUCUGCAAACUGGACAUAAUGCCUGUUUCUGAUACAGGGAAGGAUGUCAUAAAUUACUAAGUAUUAAAAUUGCAGACAAUGUUAGCAAUUUUCUGCAAUUGAAUGACAUUUUGUUAGCCUAAUUUCCAGAAUAUCUGGAGAUGAGAUACCAGGCCUAGCUCAUGCUAAGGAGGAUGUGAUAGGAAGAAUAAGGGCCUCCCAAAGAUGUCUACAUUGUAAUUUCCAGAACCUGUGAAUAUGUUACCUUGUAAGGGAAAAGAGACUAUAGAUGUGAUUAAGUUAAGGGUCUUGAGAUGGGAGAGAUUAUCCUGGAUUAUCCAAAGGAACUCAAUGUAAUUACAAGAGUCUUUUGAAGUGAAAGAGGAAGGCAGGAGACUCAGAGAAUAUGUGACCAGUGAAGCAGAGGCUGGAGUGAUGCAAUUGCUGUCUUUGAAGAUAGAAGAAAGCAGGCCAGGAGCCAAGGAAUGCAUGCAGCUUCUAGAAGCUAAAAAAAAAAAAAAAAAAAAAAAAAAAAGAAAGGCAAAGAAACAAUUUCCCCUAGAGCCUCCAGAAGAAAUGCAGUCCUGCAGGUAUAUUGAUUUUAGCCCACUGAGACCCAUUUCAGACUUCUGACCCUGGUCCAGAACUUUAAGAUAAUAUAUUUGUGUUGUUUUAAGCCACCAAAUUUCUGGUACAUUGUUACAGCAGCCAUAGAAAACACACAGAAGCACAGAAGAUUAAACUGAAUCUCUCUUUGAGCAUUCAAAGACUCUGAGUGCAGAUUUUGCAAGAAUCUGCACUUUGGAGUGCAGGUUCACUUUGGAGACCAUGUCAUUCAAAAUCUAAUAGUAUAAAGUCCAAGGAUUGUAAUCAUAGUUUACUUGCGAAUGAAUGUAUCCCUCCUGGCAUCAGACGGUCCUGAUGACUCACUUGUCAAUCAAGCUCAUAUGUAUCAUAUGCAGAAGGCCCCCCGGCACAAUGCUCAGGACCCUGCAGUACUCGCUGUAGUACUGGGAAACUGCCUGGUAGGACAGCAAGGAGGAAAUCUGGUUAUGGUACACCAAUAAUCAAGAAAGACCACUCUUUAGGGGUAUACAAAGAAGUGUACAUAUGGUCAACCAUGCUGGAGAAUAAUUUGAUAACUGUGUCAAAAAACCAUGUAUCAAAAACUUUAAAAACAUAAAUACUCUGAUUCAGCAAUUCUACUUUAAGAAAAUUCAUCCUAGAAGGAAAAAAAUUGGAUUAAUACGCACAUCAUUCACCUGCUUAAAAAAAUCCAUUCCUGGUUCCUAUAAUUGCUUAUAGAAUAACACUUGGGGAGACUGAAGGGAGACAGCAGUACAUCCACUUAUGUUGGCUAAUUAAGACUGGCAGAUGUUCAUACUGGGCAUAGCUUGGUGUAGACUUGAACCUGGCUAGAUUAUUAACCUUGAAGGUCUCUGAGCCACCUUUGCUACAUUUGCUCUUUUUCACUAAAACGACUGAAACAGUGAUUGUGACUAAGAGUUUCAAUGUUAAGUCAGUGCCUGGCCUUAUACAUUUAUCGUAAACUAUCAUCCAAUUUUGUGGGUUAAAUAAAUUACAACUUUAUAUAUGUGUAUAUGUGUGCAACUGAGCCCUUAAGUGUUGAAAAUUACCUAUGGUCUUACUCAUCCACUGACAUUCAGAUAAUAUAUUUGGCAUGCAAAAGUUGUGAAUCCAAAUUAUGCUCAAAUACAAGUGGGGAAUACUUAUCCAUCUUUUUUUCUGAUGUAUUAUCUGUUUCAAUUGCAUGUCUGGACUCAAACCCCACAAAGAAGGGACCAAAAUUUACAUGGCACUCUUGAGUAUGAUGGCGGCUGUAUUUGGAGUUUUGAUUAAACUGCGCUACAUGUGUGAUUAUUACUUGUAAACAGAUGAUUAGAUAUUAAUUAGACAAUAAGUGAUUGUAAAGCACUUAGAAAAUAAAAGUGUUUAUAAAUACCACCAAGUAAUAGCAACAAUCAUUCUUUACUGACUACACAGCUGCUAAUGUCAAUAAGAAUGAUUUAUUCCAGCUAAGGGCAACUUUAAUUUAUGCAAAAA